RNAcentral lists this ribosomal RNA (498 nucleotides) under uncultured bacterium. RNAcentral's name for it is "partial 16S ribosomal RNA". It matches the Rfam family "Bacterial small subunit ribosomal RNA", at positions 899 to 1397 of the family's 1533-position model. The record is from RNAcentral.
ACUCAAAGGAAUAGACGGGGGCCCGCACAAGCGGCGGAGCAUGUGGAUUAAUUCGAUGCAACGCGAAGAACCUUACCUGGGUUUGACAUACACUAGUAACCUGCAGAGAUGCAGGCCCCCUUGUGGCUGGUGUACAGGUGGUGCAUGGCUGUCGUCAGCUCGUGUCGUGAGAUGUUGGGUUAAGUCCCGCAACGAGCGCAACCCUUGUCCUGUGUUGCCAGCGGAUUAUGCCGGGGACUCGCAGGAGACUGCCGGGGUCAACUCGGAGGAAGGUGGGGACGACGUCAAGUCAUCAUGCCCCUUAUGUCCAGGGCUUCACACAUGCUACAAUGGCUGGUACAGAGGGCUGCGAGACCGUGAGGUGGAGCGAAUCCCUUAAAGCCAGUCUCAGUUCGGAUCGGGGUCUGCAACUCGACCCCGUGAAGUUGGAGUCGCUAGUAAUCGCAGAUCAGCAACGCUGCGGUGAAUACGUUCCCGGGCCUUGCACACACCGCCCGU